AGGAGCGAAGGCUGGAGGCAGCACGCGCGUGUGUGAUGACGGUCCUUCGGCGUCUGUAAAACUCUGUUCGUCAGAGACGAAAGACAUUGUAAGUAACUGUUCAAUGUGUGACGGUAUCUUACCAGAAAGGAACGGCUUACUACUAUGCCAGCAGCCGCGGUAAUUA
This 166-nucleotide ribosomal RNA is filed under the name uncultured bacterium. RNAcentral's name for it is "partial 16S ribosomal RNA". It matches the Rfam family "Bacterial small subunit ribosomal RNA", at positions 371 to 526 of the family's 1533-position model. The record is from RNAcentral.